GUGGGGAAUAUUGCACAAUGGGCGAAAGCCUGAUCCAGCCAUGCCGCGUGUGUGAAGAAGGUCUUCGGAUUGUAAAGCACUUUAAGUUGGGAGGAAGGGUAGUAACCUAAUACGUUGCUACUUUGACGUUACCGACAGAAUAAGCACCGGCUAACUUCGUGCCAGCAGCCGCGGUAAUACGAAGGGUGCAAGCGUUAAUCGGAAUUACUGGGCGUAAAGCGCGCGUAGGUGGUUCAGUAAGUUGGAAGUGAAAUCCCCGGGCUCAACCUGGGAACUGCUUUCAAAACUGCUGAGCUAGAGUACGGUAGAGGGUGGUGGAAUUUCCUGUGUAGCGGUGAAAUGCGUAGAUAUAGGAAGGAACACCGGUGGCGAAGGCGACCACCUGGACUGAUACUGACACUGAGGUGCGAAAGCGUGGGGAGCAAACAGGAUUAGAAACCCUGGUAGUCC
RNAcentral lists this ribosomal RNA (450 nucleotides) under uncultured bacterium. Its description in RNAcentral is "partial 16S ribosomal RNA". It matches the Rfam family "Bacterial small subunit ribosomal RNA", at positions 354 to 796 of the family's 1533-position model. The record is from RNAcentral.